Molecule: transfer RNA, 75 nt
Filed under: Gammaproteobacteria bacterium HGW-Gammaproteobacteria-1
Lineage: Bacteria; Pseudomonadati; Pseudomonadota; Gammaproteobacteria
Description: tRNA-Gly
Rfam family: tRNA
About the family: Transfer RNA (tRNA) molecules are approximately 80 nucleotides in length. Their secondary structure includes four short double-helical elements and three loops (D, anti-codon, and T loops). Further hydrogen bonds mediate the characteristic L-shaped molecular structure. tRNAs have two regions of fundamental functional importance: the anti-codon, which is responsible for specific mRNA codon recognition, and the 3' end, to which the tRNAs corresponding amino acid is attached (by aminoacyl-tRNA synthetases). tRNAs cope with the degeneracy of the genetic code in two manners: having more than one tRNA (with a specific anti-codon) for a particular amino acid; and 'wobble' base-pairing, i.e. permitting non-standard base-pairing at the 3rd anti-codon position.
Source: RNAcentral
GCGGGCAUAGCUCAGUGGUAGAGCGCCACCUUGCCAUGGUGGAAGUCAGGAGUUCGACCCUCCUUGCCCGCUCCA